RNAcentral lists this RNase P RNA (388 nucleotides) under Deltaproteobacteria bacterium. RNAcentral's name for it is "RNase P RNA component class A". It matches the Rfam family "Bacterial RNase P class A". Rfam says of the family: Ribonuclease P (RNase P) is a ubiquitous endoribonuclease, found in archaea, bacteria and eukarya as well as chloroplasts and mitochondria. Its best characterised activity is the generation of mature 5'-ends of tRNAs by cleaving the 5'-leader elements of precursor-tRNAs. Lineage: Bacteria; Pseudomonadati; Myxococcota; Myxococcia. The record is from RNAcentral.
CUGGCUGACCAGGCGAUCGCCGGAAUAGGGGGGUAACCCAUCUAGUUUCGGAGGAAAGUCCGGGCUCCAUAGGGCGCGGCGCUGGGUAACGCCCAGCGGAGGCGACUUCGGGCAAGCGCAACAGAAAGGAGACCGCCGAAGGGAUUCCCUUCGGUAAGGGUGAAAGGGUGAGGUAAGAGCUCACCGGCCGAGUGGGCGACCAGUCGGGCCAGGCAAGCCCCGUCGGGAGCAAGACCGAAUAGGAAGACGCGUAGGGCGGCCCGUCCUAGUCUUCGGGUUGGUCGCUGGACCGCUAGGGUAACUUAGCGGCUAGAGGAAUGAUCGCUAGGGUUCUAACUCCUAGGGUGGUUAAGAACCCACAGAACCCGGCUUAUAGGUGGCCAGUUUA